This 449-nucleotide ribosomal RNA is filed under the name uncultured bacterium. RNAcentral's name for it is "partial 16S ribosomal RNA". It matches the Rfam family "Bacterial small subunit ribosomal RNA", at positions 29 to 523 of the family's 1533-position model. The record is from RNAcentral.
AACGAACGCUGGCGGCAUGCCUAACACAUGCAAGUCGAACGAGAUCUUCGGGUCUAGUGGCGCACGGGUGCGUAACGCGUGGGAAGCUGCCCUCAGGUUCGGAAUAACAGUUGGAAACGACUGAUAAUACCGGAUGAUGACUAAAGUCCAAAGAUAUAUCGCCAGAGGAUGAGCCCGCGUAGGAUUAGCUAGUGGGUGUGGUAAAGGCGCACCAAGGUGACGUUCCUUAGCUGGUCUGAGAGGAUGAUCAGCCACACUGGGACUGAGACACGGCCCAGACUCCUACGGAAGGCAGCAGCGGGGAAUAUUGGACAAUGGGCGAAAGCCUGAUCCAGCAAUGCCGCGUGAGUGAUGAAGGCCUUAGGGUUGUAAAGCUCUUUUACCCGGGAUGAUAAUGACAGUACCGGGAGAAUAAGCUCCGGUUAACUCCGUGCCAGCCGCCGCUGUAA